RNAcentral lists this transfer RNA (72 nucleotides) under Daphnia magna. RNAcentral's name for it is "tRNA-Glu". It matches the Rfam family "tRNA". Rfam says of the family: Transfer RNA (tRNA) molecules are approximately 80 nucleotides in length. Lineage: Eukaryota; Metazoa; Arthropoda; Branchiopoda; Diplostraca; Daphniidae. The record is from RNAcentral.
UCCCAUAUUGUCUAGUGGUUAGGAUACCUGGCUCUCACCUAGGAGGACCGGGUUCAAUUCCCGGUAUGGGAA